This 301-nucleotide ribosomal RNA is filed under the name uncultured bacterium. RNAcentral's name for it is "partial 16S ribosomal RNA". It matches the Rfam family "Bacterial small subunit ribosomal RNA", at positions 509 to 807 of the family's 1533-position model. The record is from RNAcentral.
CAGUAGCCGCGGUAAUACGGAGGGGGCUAGCGUUGUUCGGAAUUACUGGGCGUAAAGCGCACGUAGGCGGCUUGGUAAGUUAGAGGUGAAAGCCCGGAGCUCAACUCCGGAAUUGCCUUUAAGACUGCCGAGCUAGUAGGUGAGAGAGGUAAGUGGAAUUCCGAGUGUAGAGGUGAAAUUCGUAGAUAUUCGGAAGAACACCAGUGGCGAAGGCGGCUUACUGGCUCAUUCUAGACGCUGAGGUGCGAAAGCGUGGGGAGCAAACAGGAUUAGAGACCCGCGUAGUCCCUGUCUCUUAUAC